GACGAACCGUGCGAACGUUGUUCGGAUUCACUGGGCUUAAAGGGCGCGUAGGUGGUCUGUCAAGUCGGGGGUGAAAUCUUUCGGCUCAACCGGAAAACUGCCUUCGAUACUGACAGGCUAGAGGGAGGUAGGGGUUGCGGGAACUACCAGUGGAGCGGUGAAAUGCGUUGAUAUUGGUAGGAACGCCGGUGGCGAAAGCGCGCAACUGGAUCUCUUCUGACACUGAGUGCGCGAAAGCUAGGGGAGCAAACGGG
This 254-nucleotide ribosomal RNA is filed under the name uncultured bacterium. Its description in RNAcentral is "partial 16S ribosomal RNA". It matches the Rfam family "Bacterial small subunit ribosomal RNA", at positions 524 to 776 of the family's 1533-position model. The record is from RNAcentral.